Non-coding RNA from Elaeis guineensis (African oil palm), 1903 nucleotides. NCBI's taxonomy places the organism in Eukaryota, Viridiplantae, Streptophyta, Magnoliopsida, Arecales, Arecaceae. The record is from RefSeq and is a predicted model, not a curated record.
CCAUCUGUUUCCUCUCUGCACAAAGAAGGUUCACUUCUGCGGAAGCGACGAGAUGGCGAGGGCCUGCCGGCGAAAGAGACGGAAGCCGAUGUAGAUCCGAGAACCUGGCAGAGCUGCCCUGAAAUCCACGAGGUGGAUUGCUUGUUGUCCCAUGUGGUUGUUUCCUCCCUCCGUGCCGUUUCUGUGCAUGUUUCCGUCCAUAUGGCUUGGGUUGGCCUGGAGCAGCUGAAGCAGCAGAUGGGUAUCUCGGAGGGCUCCCUUGACAAAAUUCUCUUAGGUGUGACUUCUGAAGAUUCAGAAAGCACAUGAGAGGGCAUUGUCGGCUUCCUCUGGUUGCAUCAUCAUUCACAAGUUAAAACAUCUUGCGGUGGAGAAGAUGAUGAGCGCCCCACAACUCAUAUGCUUCAGAACUUUCCUGAAGAGGCAAGUCUGUACCAUGGUCGCACCACCAACAAUCCAUUAGAUCAAGUACUCUGGAUAAAUUUUGUGUUAACCACUUCUUUUUUUGUUUAAGGCAGUAUAUUCUGAAGAGUAGUAUAAUGACUCAAAGUUGUCUAUAACAGCAGCAACAUUUUCCUACAGCAACCACUGGUGGAGAUUUAGAUACUUUAUUGCGGAUGCAGGUACCGUAAUGGGAGCAGGAUUAGAAGUUAGAUUCACUAGUAUCUACAUAUUUUAGAUUUAGUAUAGGGUUAUUAUUAAGAUUUAGUUGAUGCAAAACUCUUAAAUUAUAUUGUCAGUUGGAUUUGUUAAAUUAUUAAAUUAUGACUUUUAAUUAUUUAAAUUUAUUUGCUACUUGUUUAUGAUAUCUAAAAGAUUUUGAUUGCUAGGAUAUGCAACAUCAAGAGGUUACAUGGGUAUGCUUCCUUUUGGGUAUCUAUGUAUUCAAUACCUUUUAUUACGAAUGCAACAUCCAGAGGUUACAUGGGUAUGCUUCCUUUUGGGUAUCUAUGUAUUCAAUACCUUUUAUUACGAAUGCUUGUUGAGAUGAUGUUUCUUCUGUACCAUAUGUUGUGUUAUGCACUGUAUCAAUAUGGAAGAUCAUUUGGAUUGUAUCAUGAUAAAUAGUGUGGCACAAAGAAUUGAGGGCACGGUGGUUCUUGGUCUUUUUUUUUUCCUUCUUGUAUGUGGGGGAUGGGGGUGUAAGAGCCGGUAUUUGAAAUUUUGAAUGUAUUAAUAGCAAUUUGCAAGCUCUUGUCAAGCUUCAUCGGUGUAGUUUCUGAAUCAAGUUAAUUAAUGAUUGGAGGUUAAAGUGCAUUUGUUCAUCCAAAUGUAGCUUGUUUGGAGGAAGUUUCCUGACCAGCUGAUUUGUCACUGAUUAAUUAAGUUGAAAUCCUCGGAAGUCUGCAUGAUACAUAUGCUGUCCAUGUUUGAUUUGAAGAGCUAAAUAUACUUGUCUGCAUUUGUUACAGCUGCAUCAUUUUAUAGGUUUUCGAGGUAUUGCUGUUCAUUUCCCAUGUUUCUGUUAUUGGUUAUGAAAGGAGCUCAAAGUGUUUUGUGAUCUAACAAUCCUUUGAGUUUGUACUGUGAUUUUAUUGUGCCGCCGCCUCACCCUCUUUUCUUCUUUCUUUUUUUUGGAAGGGAUUUAUUUCUUUUUGCUGUACUCAUGUUGCUGCCACUGGAUGUGCUCUGAAAAUGUUAUUUGACCAUCUUUCAUUUGAGAUCAUGUAAUAUUGCUGUGUUACUCAUGUUUAGUGUCUCAACUGUAUCUUGGAUCCAUAUGUGCCAUAUCAUUUGUAAGUCCUGUGAUGGUUGUUUUAUUUGAAUUUUCAUAUAUCCCUAAUUCUUGUUGGGAAAGUGGCUUUUUUAUUCACUGCAUGGUGUAGUUGUACUUUUAUUUGUAUGUGGCAUAGAGGUAGCCAUUGGUUGUUUGAAGUUGUGGUCAUAUAGUCAUGGUAUUUCG